Molecule: long non-coding RNA, 1445 nt
Organism: Polyodon spathula (Mississippi paddlefish)
Lineage: Eukaryota; Metazoa; Chordata; Actinopteri; Acipenseriformes; Polyodontidae
Exons: 2
Source: RefSeq, a predicted model, not a curated record
AGGUAGGGGAAAUUAACCCCAUCCCUGCCAAUUUAAAAAGGGCAGAGCUUUGCUCUGCCACAGAUGGUAAUUCUAGUUAACCAUAUGUAGUUUGCAGCAUGAUAUUCAAUGAGCAAAUAAUUUAAAAGUAAGUUGUUUAUCAUUUAACAAUAGGGUUCGACAAAAUCUAUAUUUAUUCAUGAUUGAAAACUAGUUUAAAUCACUUUCCUGGAAAGUUACUGGAUCCAUGCUGUAGCAUCAUUUCCUUGAUUAUUGUACAUCCCUGCAAGCUUCCUUUUUUUAUUUAACAGGGCCCCUAACACAGUUAUCAUGGCUGAUGGAAAAAGAUGAACAACGAACAUUGCAGCAGACUGGCACAAAUAAAACACAGUGCAAUUCCUCCAGAUGCCUGUGCAUAUUGCUGAUCAUUCUUGCAGUAGCAUUGGUGGCUAGUCUACUUCUAUCAUCCUAUGCAAUAUAUUUAAUGGUGCAAACAACAGAGAAAAUGAAGGAGUUGUCCAGCUCCGCUUUUGAAGAGGCAUACCUGCAAGAAAUCGCAGCAUUCAAAGAUAUCAUUUUAAAAUAUCUUAACCAAUCAACGACUGCAGUAAAUAAAGGGGCUGCGGCUGUUGAAGAAAUUGUCACUCAUAAUGUAACUGCUUAAUUCACAAAACUGUCAGUUAACAUGCAUUUGUAUGUGUGACCAUGUGAUGUAGCAGUGAAAUAGGUUGGUGUCUGCCUUCCAUUACUUUGCUAUGCCACCCUGCAGUGCCUUCAUCUUGCCGACAACAUUAUUUACAGAAAUAAAAGCUUCCUUUCCUUCUCUUUUUAUUAGGAAUUUUUGAUAACUUGCAAGGAAAAAUAUAAUUUCUAUUGAAAGCAGGAUUUACUGCUUUCCCAAGCAAUUGCUUUGACUAAUGCACACAGUUUCCAGUGUGCACGGCUGCAAUAGUGAAUGCAUCUGCAUAGAUUUAGUGCUGGGUGUAGUUGAAAAUUCCAUCAAAUGUGAUGUACAGGCUAAACUCAACUAUGAAAAGCAAUCAGGUCAAUGACCAAAUUGCUUUGCCAGUCAGAGUAAUAAACAACUAUAUCCACAUGCGUUAGUUAGAUACUUUUACAAGCGCACAAGAUAGACAUUUAAUUUGUGUGGCUGUUCAAGUUGGUCAACCAAGAGAAACAUUUUGCAUCACAUUAUAAGACUUACUACUUUGCUCUUGUGGUUUAUGAAAAAUUGUAAAAGUAGAGGUGACACAAUUUUAUGCUGCUAAAGAAACGAGAGCUUAAUAAAGUAUUGUUAUAGUUCAGAAGACACAUUAAUUUGUAGGUUGACUGUUAAAUUCUGAUAAUAAAAUACAAUAAAAAUUCAAUGUGUAUUUCAAAUAUGUGACACUUUAUCUGUGCUUGUGUACCUUGAUUGCGAUCAAUUCUUGUGUAUGGCAAAAAAAUAAAUAAAUAAAUAAACUUUA